UACGGGGGGGGCAAGCGUUGUUCGGAAUUACUGGGCGUAAAGGGCUCGUAGGCGGCCAACUAAGUCAUACGUGAAAUCCCUCGGCUCAACCGAGGAACUGCGUCUGAUACUGGAAGGCUUGAAUCCGGGAGAGGGAUGUGGAAUUCCAGGUGUAGCGGUGAAAUGCGUAGAUAUCUGGAGGAACGCCGGUGGCGAAGGCGGCAUCCUGGACCGGUAUUGACGCUGAGGCGCGAAAGCUAGGGGAGCAAACGGG
Molecule: ribosomal RNA, 253 nt
Filed under: uncultured bacterium
Lineage: Bacteria
Description: partial 16S ribosomal RNA
Rfam family: Bacterial small subunit ribosomal RNA
Source: RNAcentral